GACGAACGCUGGCGGCGUGCUCAACACAUGCAAGUCGAACGGAAAGGCCCUGCUUUUGCGGGGUGCUCGAGUGGCGAACGGGUGAGUAACACGUGAGUAACCUGCCCUUGACUUUGGGAUAACUUCAGGAAACUGGGGCUAAUACCGGAUAGGAGCUCCUGCUGCAUGGUGGGGGUUGGAAAGUUUCGGCGGUUGGGGAUGGACUCGCGGCUUAUCAGCUUGUUGGUGGGGUAGUGGCUUACCAGGGCUUUGACGGGUAGCCGGCCUGAGAGGGUGACCGGCCACAUUGGGACUGAGAUACGGCCCAGACUCCUACGGGAGGCAGCAGUGGGGAAUAUUGCACAAUGGGCGGAAGCCUGAUGCAGCAACGCCGCGUGCGGGAUGACGGCCUUCGGGUUGUAAACCGCUUUCGCCUGUGACGAAGCGUGAGUGACGGUAAUGGGUAAAGAAGCACCGGCUAACUACGUGCCAGCAGCCGCGGUGAUACGUAGGGUGCGAGCGUUGUCCGGAUUUAUUGGGCGUAAAGGGCUCGUAGGUGGUUGAUCGCGUCGGAAGUGUAAUCUUGGGGCUUAACCCUGAGCGUGCUUUCGAUACGGGUUGACUUGAGGAAGGUAGGGGAGAAUGGAAUUCCUGGUGGAGCGGUGGAAUGCGCAGAUAUCAGGAGGAACACCAGUGGCGAAGGCGGUUCUCUGGGCCUUUCCUGACGCUGAGGAGCGAAAGCGUGGGGAGCGAACAGGCUUAGAUACCCUGGUAGUCCACGCUGUAAACGGUGGGUACUAGGUGUGGGGUCCAUUCCACGGGUUCCGUGCCGUAGCUAACGCUUUAAGUACCCCGCCUGGGGAGUACGGCCGCAAGGCUAAAACUCAAAGGAAUUGACGGGGCCCCGCACAAGCGGCGGAGCAUGCGGAUUAAUUCGAUGCAACGCGUAGAACCUUACCUGGGUUUGACAUGGAUCGGGAGUGCUCAGAGAUGGGUGUGCCUCUUUUGGGGUCGGUUCACAGGUGGUGCAUGGCUGUCGUCAGCUCGUGUCGUGAGAUGUUGGGUUAAGUCCCGCAACGAGCGCAACCCUUGUUCACUGUUGCCAGCACGUUAUGGUGGGGACUCAGUGGAGACCGCCGGGGUCAACUCGGAGGAAGGUGGGGAUGACGUCAAGUCAUCAUGCCCCUUAUGUCCAGGGCUUCACGCAUGCUACAAUGGCUGGUACAGAGAGUGGCGAGCCUGUGAGGGUGAGCGAAUCUCGGAAAGCCGGUCUCAGUUCGGAUUGGGGUCUGCAACUCGACCUCAUGAAGUCGGAGUCGCUAGUAAUCGCAGAUCAGCAACGCUGCGGUGAAUACGUUCCCGGG
This 1343-nucleotide ribosomal RNA is filed under the name uncultured bacterium. RNAcentral describes it as "16S ribosomal RNA". It matches the Rfam family "Bacterial small subunit ribosomal RNA", at positions 28 to 1378 of the family's 1533-position model. The record is from RNAcentral.